GAUGAAGAACGCAGCGAAAUGCGAUAAGUAAUGUGAAUUGCAGAAUUCAGUGAAUCAUCGAAUCUUUGAACGCACAUUGCGCCCUCUGGUAUUCCGGGGGGCAUGCCUGUUCGAGCGUCAUUACAACCCUCAGGCCCCCGGGCCUGGCGUUGGGGAUCGGCGGAGCCCCCCGUGGGCACACGCCGUCCCCCAAAUGCAGUGGCGGUCCCGCCGCAGCUUCCAUCGCGUAGUAGCUAACACCUCGCGACUGGAGAGCGGCGCGGCCACGCCGUAAAACACCCAACUCUUCUGAAGUUGACCUCGAAUCAGGUAGGAAUACCCGCUGAACUUAAGCAUAUCAAUAAGCGGAGGA
RNAcentral lists this unclassified non-coding RNA (352 nucleotides) under soil metagenome. RNAcentral's name for it is "partial contains 5.8S ribosomal RNA, internal transcribed spacer 2, and large subunit ribosomal RNA". The stretch from base 1 to 120 matches the Rfam family "5.8S ribosomal RNA", at positions 35 to 154 of the family's 154-position model. The record is from RNAcentral.